This 1094-nucleotide long non-coding RNA is filed under the name Homo sapiens (human). Its description in RNAcentral is "non-protein coding HHIP-AS1:3". The record is from RNAcentral. Lineage: Eukaryota; Metazoa; Chordata; Mammalia; Primates; Hominidae.
GCGGCGGGGAGGGGCGGCUAGCCGCGACGGCGGCGGACGGAGGGGGAGGGCCGCGAGCCUUCGGAACCAGCCUCGAGGGUGCUGAACCCCGCGCGCCCGCCUCGCCGCGGCCCCCGGGUGGGGGCGUCCACGGCCCGGGUUCCCGGCGGGCUUGGGGCAGGGACGCAGUCCGGAGAUUCCGGGACUGCCCGGCUGCUGCAGCCCGCAGGCUCCUCUCUCCUCCCCGCUUCCCCUCCGCACUGCCUGGGCUAAAGGCGGCCAAGCUGAGGCUCCGAAAGAAAAGGGAAAAUUGCAACCCUUGCCUACAACCAGACUGACAGCAUAAUUUCUUAGGAAUCAAGAAUCAAUACAGGGUUAUUUCUUUAGAUUAAACCUUAAAAGCCCCCUUGGAGGCUGAAGAAGCAGAGGAUAGCCAUGCAUACACUUGAACGUGAAAAAUGGUCCUCUUUCAUUGGAGAGGUCUUCCUCUUCAGCUAAACCGACAGAGUGGUGAAAAGAAGAAGGGACCCCUUGUUGACCAAAAUAAUCCAGACAAAUCAAAUCGGCCCUUUCCAGCAAGGAGUGGAACAGCCCAAGGGUGGCUAGAUCACAUCUUCUGCUCACACCACCACUGAGCAACCCUCUCCAGGACUGCCACCUAUGCAUAGGUCAUGCCCUGUGCAAGAGCACAUAAAGUGGGAGCUGAAGUCCUGCCCAGGCUCCAUUCACCAAGCAGAGCUUAUGUUGUUGUGUGUCUGUGUCUACCCAGAGGAUGUGGGUCCUUUUUAAAAUGUGCACCAAUGCAUCUUGUAUGAGCUGGCACCAGCUCGGACCAUCCCACCCUCAUACCCUGGUCCUAUCCAGGGUUAUAUUCCCUACUUUAGAAGAAUUAAUUAUUUUUAUGAACGUAUUUAGUUUAUUGUAAAAAAUGAAAUAUAUGACACAAAUUGAAAUUAAUUUCAGAGGUAAAGGUCAGAAUAUUACCAUGUAUGUGAAUUAUGUUUGUAUGUAUAUGUAUAUAUCAAGAGAGUUAUAUGAAUAUACAUUUUUGUGUAUCAGAAGUGAGGACAAUUUAACUUUGUUAAGUGUUUGAAAUAAAAUUAUUUUGAGUUUUG